GCAAAAACACUGCUCUGUAACCAACUAGCUACUAGCUAAAACACUGCUCUGUAACCAACUAGCUAAAACACUGCUCUGUAACCAACUAGCUAAAACACUGCUCUGUAACCAACUAGCUACUAGCUAAAACACAGCUCUUUAACCAACUAGCUACUAGCUAAAACACUGCUCUGUAACCAACUAGCUACAACACUGCUCUGUAACCAACUAGCUAAAACACUGCUCUGUAACCAACUAGCUACUAGCUAAAACACUGCUCUGUAACCAACUAGCUACUAGCUAAAACACUGCUCUGUAACCAACUAGCUACAACACUGCUCUGUAACCAACUAGCUACAACACUGCUCUGUAACCAACUAGCCAACUAGCUAAAACACUGCUCUGUAACCAACAAGCCAACUAGCUAAAACACUGCUCUGUAACCAACUAGCUACAACACUGCUCUGUAACCAACUAGCUAAAACACUGCUCUGUAACCAACUAGCUAAAACACUGCUCUGUAACCAACUAGCUACUAGCCACUAACUGAAACACUGCUCUGUAACCAACUAGCUACUAGCCAACUAACUAAAACAUUACUCUAUAUCCAACUAGCUACUAGCCACCACACUGCUCUGUAACCAACUAGUCACCACACUGCUCUGUAACCAACUAGCUACUAGUCACCACACUGCUCUGUAACCAACUAGUUACUUGUCACCACACUGCUCUGUAACCAACUAGCUACUAGUCACCACACUGCUCUGUAACCAACUAGUUACUUGUCACCACACUGCUCUGUAACCAACUAGCUACUAGUCACCACACUGCUCUGUAACCAACUAGUUACUUGUCACCACACUGCUCUGUAACCAACUAGCUACUAGUCACCACACUGCUCUGUAACCAACUAGCUACUAGUCACCACACUGCUCUGUAACCAACUAGCUACUAGUCACUACACUGUAGACUCUCUAUUGUCUAUUGUAAUCUGGUCUCCUGUUGUCUAUUGUAAUCUGGCCUUCUGUCAUGUAGACUCUCCUAUUGUCUAUUGUAAUCUGGUCUCCCAUUGUCUAUUGUAAUCUGGUCUGCUGUCAUGUAGACUCUCCUAUUGUCUAUUGUAAUCUGGUCUCCUAUUGUAAUCUCUAUUGUAAUCUGGUCAUCCUAUUGUAAUCAUACUGUAAUCUCUAUUGUAAUCUGGUUUGCUGUCAUGUAGACUCUCCUAUUGUCUAUUGUAAUCUGGUCUCCUAUUGUCUAUUGUAAUCUGGUUUGCUGUCUCUCUCCAGACUCUCCUAUUGUCUAUUGUAAUCUGGUCUCCUGUCCUGUAGACUCUCCUAUUGUCUAUUGUAAUCUGGUCUCCUGUCCUGUAGACUCUCCUAUUGUCUAUUGUAAUCUGGUCUCCCAUUGUCUAUUGUAAUCUGGUCUCCUGUCCUGUAGACUCUCCUAUUGUCUAUUGUAAUCUGGUCUCCCAUUGUCUAUUGUAAUCUGGUCUGCUGUCAUGUAGACUCUCCUAUUGUCUAUUGUAAUCUGGUCUCCCAUUGUCUAUUGUAAUCUGGUCUGCUGUCAUGUAGACUCUCCUAUUGUCUAUUGUAAUCUGGUCUCCCAUUGUCUAUUGUAAUCUGGUCUGCUGUCAUGUAGACUCUCCUAUUGUCUAUUGUAAUCUGGUCUCCUAUUGUAAUCUCUAUUGUAAUCUGGUCAUCCUAUUGUAAUCAUACUGUAAUCUCUAUUGUAAUCUGGUUUGCUGUCAUGUAGACUCUCCUAUUGUCUAUUGUAAUCUGGUCUCCUAUUGUCUAUUGUAAUCUGGUUUGCUGUCUCUCUCCAGACUCUCCUAUUGUCUAUUGUAAUCUGGUCUCCUAUUGUCUAUUGUAAUCUGGUCUCCCAUUGUCUAUUGUAAUCUGGUCUCCUAUUGUCUAUUGUAAUCUGGUCUCCCAUUGUCUAUUGUAAUCUGGUCUCCUGUCCUGUAGACUCUCCUAUUGUCUAUUGUAAUCUGGUCUCCUGUCCUGUAGACUCUCCUAUUGUCUAUUGUAAUCUGGUCUCCUGUCCUGUAGACUCUCCUAUUGUCUAUUGUAAUCUGGUCUCCUAUUGUCUAUUGUAAUCUGGUCUCCUGUCCUGUAGACUCUCCUAUUGUCUAUUGUAAUCUGGUCUCCUGUCCUGUAGACUCUCCUAUUGUCUAUUGUAAUCCCUUCCCCCUCUGUCCUCUCUAGGAGUUAUCUGUGAUGAAGCAGGUUCUGCUCAGUAUGAGGUCCAGAAAGACUGAACCCUUCCUGGAUCCUGCCGGGGCUGGGGCGGGGCUGGCCUUAAGCAGACCCAAAAACCUCAGCAGAACCACAGAGGAGGAUGAGCAGAACCCUCACAGACACAGACCCAAACCCACCGUGUUCACCAAUAAGGAAGCUCCUGAUUGGUACAGGAAAGUCAAGUUCCCGCCUGAAUGACCAAUGGCCUUCCAGGUGGUGCAGAGGGGAUGUGUGUGGACACUCCAUACUGGUUUUAUUUGCACUACUGUAUUGGUUGAUAGUUUAUAUGUGUAUGUUGUGCUGUACUGUUGUAAUCGGUUGACUUGCUAUGUUUUAUAUAAAAAUCUGUCAAAACUACA
Molecule: long non-coding RNA, 2575 nt
Organism: Oncorhynchus masou masou (cherry salmon)
Lineage: Eukaryota; Metazoa; Chordata; Actinopteri; Salmoniformes; Salmonidae
Exons: 2
Source: RefSeq, a predicted model, not a curated record